AGCUAGUUGGUGAGGUACGGGUCACCAAGGCAUCGACGGGUAGCUGGUCUGAGAGGACGAUCAGCCACACUGGGACUGACACACGGCCCAGACUCCUACGGGAGGCAGAAGUAGGGAAUAUUGGACAAUGGGCGCACGCCUGAUCCAGCCAUGCCGCGUGUGUGAUGAAAGCCCUAGGAUUGUAAAGUUCUUUCAACGGUGAAGAUAAUGACGGCAACCGUAGAAGAAGCUCCGGCUAACUUCGUGCCAGCAUCGCGGUAAUACCAAGGGAGCUAGCCUUGUUCGGAAUUACUGGCCGUAAAGCGCCCGUAGGCGGGCUAUUAAGUUAGGGGUGAAUUCCCGGGGAUCACCCCCGGACCUGCCCUUGACCCUGGUAGUCUAGAGUUCGAGAGAUUUGUGUGGAAUUCCGAGUGUAGAGCUGAAAUUUCUCCAUAUUCGGAGGAACACCAAUUUGUGAACGCUGUUCACUGUCUCCCUACUGACACUGAGGUGC
Molecule: ribosomal RNA, 493 nt
Filed under: uncultured bacterium
Lineage: Bacteria
Description: bacterial SSU rRNA
Rfam family: Bacterial small subunit ribosomal RNA
Source: RNAcentral